ACUGCUAUUGGGAUUCGAUUAAGCCAUGCGAGUCGAGAGGGUUCGGCCCUCGGCGGACUGCUCAGUAACACGUGGAUAAUCUGCCCUUAGGUGGAGCAUAACCUCGGGAAACUGAGAAUAAUACUCCAUAGGUCUAGGAUGCUGGAAUGCGUCUAGGCUCAAAGAUUUAUCGCCUAAGGAUGAGUCUGCGGACUAUCAGGUUGUAGUCAGGGUAAAGUCCUGACUAGCCUACGACGGAUACGGGUUGUGAGAGCAAUAACCCGGAGACGAUAUCUGAGACACGAUAUCGGGCCCUACGGGGCGCAGCAGGCGCGAAACCUUCACACUGUGCGAAAGCGCGAUGAGGGGAUCCCAAGUGCUUGCUCUUAGGAGUAAGCUGUUUUCCUGUUUAAAUCGCAGGAAGAGGAAGGGCUGGGUAAGACGGGUGCCAGCCGCCGCGGUAAUACCUGCAGCUCAAGUGGUGACCGCUAUUAUUGGGCCUAAAACGUCCGUAGCCGGGCUGAGUAAAUGCCUGGGUAAAUCGUGCCGCUUAACGGUACGAAUUCCGGGUAGACUGCUUAGCUUGAGACCGGGAGAAGCUAGAGGUACUCCUGGGGUAGAGGUGAAAUUCUGUAAUCCUGGGGGGACCACCAGUGGCGAAAGCGUCUAGCUAGAACGGGUCUGACGGUGAGGGACGAAACCCUGGGGCGCGAACCGGAUUAGAUACCCGGGUAGUCCAGGGCGCAAACGCUGCUUGCUUGAUGUUAGCUGGGCUCCGAGCUCAGCUAGUGUCGGAGAGAAGUUGUUAAGCAAGCUGCCUGGGAAGUACGAUCGCAAGAUUGAAACUUAAAGGAAUUGGCGGGGGAGCACAGCAACGGGUGGAGCGUGCGGUUUAAUUGGAUUCAACGCCGGAAAACUCACCGGAGGCGACGGUUACAUGAAGGCCAGGCUGAUGACCUUGCCUGAUUUUCCGAGAGGUGGUGCAUGGCCGCCGUCAGUUCGUACCGUAAGGCGUUCUGUUAAGUCAGAUAACGAACGAGACCCUCAUCCUUAAUUGCUACUAAUAACUCCGGUUAUUAGGCACAUUAAGGAGACCGCUGACGAUAAGUCAGGGGAAGGCGAGGGCAACGGUAGGUCAGUAUGCCCUGAAUCCUC
Molecule: ribosomal RNA, 1134 nt
Filed under: uncultured Thermoplasmatales archaeon
Lineage: Archaea; Methanobacteriati; Thermoplasmatota; Thermoplasmata; Thermoplasmatales
Description: bacterial SSU rRNA
Rfam family: Archaeal small subunit ribosomal RNA
Source: RNAcentral